RNAcentral lists this ribosomal RNA (468 nucleotides) under uncultured bacterium. Its description in RNAcentral is "bacterial SSU rRNA". It matches the Rfam family "Bacterial small subunit ribosomal RNA", at positions 8 to 526 of the family's 1533-position model. The record is from RNAcentral.
AGAGUUUGAUCCUGGCUCAGAACGAACGCUGGCGGCAGGCCUAACACAUGCAAGUCGAGCGCUCCGCAAGGGGAGCGGCGCACGGGUGAGUAACGCGUGGGAACGUGCCCUAGGGUACGGGAUAACACCGGGAAACUGGUGCUAAUACCGUAUAUGGCGGAAGCUGAAAGAAUUUCGCCCUGGGAGCGGCCCGCGUCCGAUUAGCUAGUUGGUGGGGUAAUGGCCUACCAAGGCUGCGAUCGGUAGCUGGUCUGAGAGGAUGAUCAGCCACACUGGGACUGAGACACGGCCCAGACUCCUACGGGAGGCAGCAGUGGGGAGUAUUGGACAAUGGACGCAAGUCUGAUCCAGCCAUGCCGCGUGGGUGAUGAAGGCCUUCGGGUUGUAAAGCCCUUUCGCGCGCGACGAUGAUGACGGUAGCGCGAGAAGAAGCCCCGGCUAACUUCGUGCCAGCAGCCGCGGUAAUUC